AGCGGGGUGUAGCAAUACACUGCCGGCGACCGGCGCACGGGUGCGUAACGCGUAUACAAUUUGCCUUAUACAGGGAGAUAGCCCGGAGAAAUUCGGAUUAAUAUCCCAUAAUAAUUUUGUCUCGCAUGAGAUGAUUUUUAAAGCUACGGCGGUAUAAGAUGAGUAUGCGUCCUAUUAGCUAGUUGGUGAGGUAACGGCUCACCAAGGCUACGAUAGGUAGGGGGCCUGAGAGGGUUAUCCCCCACACUGGUACUGAGACACGGACCAGACUCCUACGGGAGGCAGCAGUGAGGAAUAUUGGUCAAUGGAGGCAACUCUGAACCAGCCAUGCCGCGUGCAGGAUGAAUGCCCUAUGGGUUGUAAACUGCUUUUAUUUGGGAAGAAACCUUUCUACGUGUAGAGAGCUGACGGUACCAAAGGAAUAAGGACCGGCUAACUCCGUGCCAGCAGCCGCGGUAAUACGGAGGGUCCGAGCGUUAUCCGGAAUCAUUGGGUUUAAAGGGUGCGCAGGCGGUAAAGUAAGUCAGUGGUGAAAUCCUGCAGCUCAACUGCAGAACUGCCAUUGAUACUGCUAUACUUGAAUAUAGUCGAAGUGGGCGGAAUGUGACAUGUAGCGGUGAAAUGCUUAGAUAUGUCACAGAACACCGAUAGCGAAGGCAGCUCACUAGACUAAGAUUGACGCUCAUGCACGAAAGCGUGGGGAGCGAACAGGAUUAGAUACCCUGGUAGUCCACGCUGUAAACUAUGAUUACUCGUUCUCGGCGAUAUACGGUCGGGGACUAAGCGAAAGUGAUAAGUAAUCCACCUGGGGAGUACGGUCGCAAGAUUGAAACUCAAGGGAAUUGACGGGGGCCCGCACAAGCGGUGGAGCAUGUGGUUUAAUUCGAUGAUACGCGAGG
RNAcentral lists this ribosomal RNA (899 nucleotides) under uncultured Flavobacteriia bacterium. RNAcentral's name for it is "bacterial SSU rRNA". It matches the Rfam family "Bacterial small subunit ribosomal RNA", at positions 68 to 966 of the family's 1533-position model. The record is from RNAcentral. Lineage: Bacteria; Pseudomonadati; Bacteroidota; Flavobacteriia.